GGAGACCAAUAAAAAAAUCUAGAUAACUUUAUAGUUAACCAAUUAAUCAUGCAAUUGCUAAAAUUUAUAUGUAUCAUAUUAAUAAUUAUAAAAGACAACUAAUUAUAUUUAAUGCAUCAUUUUAUUAAAUAUAUCUAGGAUAAUUUUUUUACUUGGUAUAUUAAAAUUUAAUGUCUCAAAUGAUUAUUUUCAAAUUUAAAAUUUUAUUUCUAUUUAAGUAGAAUCCAAGGAUUAUGGAAGAAAUUAUCUCCAUUCAAAGUGUUCACUAUGUGGGAUGUCUAGUUUUUUUUCUAUUCAUAAGGUAAUUUUCAUGUUCUACAUUUUAUUAUCAUGUUAGGAUAUAUUUUACUCUUUACCAAGAGCAUAAGAGAUUGUGCUUCUCGCAUAACAGUAAUUUCUCAAUUCAAGAUUAUGCUUAUUGACAUGAGGCCUACAUUAGCUAUGCUAUUACUAGGUUAACACUCGCUAUCAUGACAUGAUGAAUAGAAGAAUAAUAAGCUCUACCACUAAGAAUGUGUACUAU
This 523-nucleotide long non-coding RNA is filed under the name Phoenix dactylifera (date palm). RNAcentral's name for it is "long non-coding RNA (PDAC_LNC008268)". The record is from RNAcentral. Lineage: Eukaryota; Viridiplantae; Streptophyta; Magnoliopsida; Arecales; Arecaceae.